Molecule: ribosomal RNA, 388 nt
Filed under: uncultured bacterium
Lineage: Bacteria
Description: bacterial SSU rRNA
Rfam family: Bacterial small subunit ribosomal RNA
Source: RNAcentral
AUUGAACGCUGGCGGCAUGCCUAACACAUGCAAGUCGAACGGUAGCAGGCCUUCGGGCGCUGACGAGUGGCGGACGGGUGAGUAAUACAUAGGAAUCUGCCUUUUAGUGGGGGAUAACCCGGAGAAAUCCGGGCUAAUACCGCAUACGCACUACGGUGGAAAGCAGGGGAUCGUAAGACCUUGCGCUAAUAGAUGAGCCUAUGUCGGAUUAGCUUGUUGGUAGGGUAAUGGCCUACCAAGGCGACGAUCCGUAGCUGGUCUGAGAGGACGACCAGCCACACUGGGACUGAGACACGGCCCAGACUCCUACGGGAGGCAGCAGUGGGGAAUAUUGGACAAUGGGGGCAACCCUGAUCCAGCAAUGCCGCGUGUGUGAAGAAGGCCUCGG